This 73-nucleotide transfer RNA is filed under the name Spirosoma sp. RNAcentral's name for it is "tRNA-Lys". It matches the Rfam family "tRNA". Rfam says of the family: Transfer RNA (tRNA) molecules are approximately 80 nucleotides in length. Their secondary structure includes four short double-helical elements and three loops (D, anti-codon, and T loops). Further hydrogen bonds mediate the characteristic L-shaped molecular structure. tRNAs have two regions of fundamental functional importance: the anti-codon, which is responsible for specific mRNA codon recognition, and the 3' end, to which the tRNAs corresponding amino acid is attached (by aminoacyl-tRNA synthetases). tRNAs cope with the degeneracy of the genetic code in two manners: having more than one tRNA (with a specific anti-codon) for a particular amino acid; and 'wobble' base-pairing, i.e. permitting non-standard base-pairing at the 3rd anti-codon position. The record is from RNAcentral. Lineage: Bacteria; Pseudomonadati; Bacteroidota; Cytophagia; Cytophagales; Cytophagaceae. RNAcentral also lists the same sequence under 3 other names.
GACUCCGUAGCUCAGUUGGUAGAGCAAUUGACUCUUAAUCAAUGGGUCGACAGUUCGAACCUGUCCGGGGUCA